UUAUAAUUAAGUUCUAACUUUUCGUCUAUUAAUUAUAAACUCAUUUAGUCACAAAGUUGUAAUAUCCAAUUUUGGCCCAAACCAAUAAAACCAAAAUAAACCCACCAAAUAAUUCAAAAGUCCAAACUUCAAGUCCAUUUACAACAUGUGUAGCCCAAAAUUAAAACCAGACCCAUUACACAUCAAUUAACCCAAACCCACUACCUAGAUUUUAGCCCAAAUCAAAACCCCAUUAGCCCAUUACCUAAACUAACCCUAAUAGCCCACUUGCUUAAAAUUUUCAGCAAACCCUAGCCACCAAGUUUUCAGCCGCCACUCCCCCUCAGCCUUGGCCAUCACGCGCGCCACCACCAUCGCUCAGGGCAUCAACCAUCGGCCUUCCAUACGUCUGACACCUGCAAGACGAAACUAACACGCAAAAUACAAGAAAAAAAGAAGAAAAAAACAAAAAUAAUAGCAGACAACAAGCAAAAAAAAAAAACAAAAAAUGAAUCUAUGUAAUUUGGUUAUAAAAGCCGAAACAUCCCUUUGUAGUUUUUUUUACGAACACUAGCAAUCGAAAAGCAAGAAUACAAAAAAAAGGUUGAUUUCGAUUUCUAUUUUCGUGUUACAAAAAAAAGGUUGAUUUCGAUUUCUAUUUUCGUGUCUUUUCGUUUUAUACUUUUAUUUUUUUAUGUAAAUCUACUCUAAACGAAAAUAAAAAGAAGAAACUUACCGGAUUUAUCUCGUGGCCGCAUUGUCGGAGUUCUCAUCUCCGCCGCCGUGGUCGUUUCCUAAAAGGGAAGAGAGGGACUUUUUCCUUUUUAUUUUCGGAGUUUUGAGAACGUGGCCUUUCAGGUUCACCUGGAAUGGGACUAAAGAGUCCCUUUCGCGCAACUCCAGCCUUUGGCCCCGACGGCAGCACGGGGGACUGCUGAGGGUUCCUUCGGUCGGAGACAGAGGAGAGGGAGAGAGAGUUUAAAAGUUUUUUUUUUAGUUGAAG
RNAcentral lists this long non-coding RNA (982 nucleotides) under Gossypium barbadense (sea-island cotton). RNAcentral's name for it is "long non-coding RNA (GBAR_LNC011255)". The record is from RNAcentral. Lineage: Eukaryota; Viridiplantae; Streptophyta; Magnoliopsida; Malvales; Malvaceae.